Molecule: ribosomal RNA, 616 nt
Filed under: Hylotrupes bajulus (European house borer)
Lineage: Eukaryota; Metazoa; Arthropoda; Insecta; Coleoptera; Cerambycidae
Description: partial large subunit ribosomal RNA
Source: RNAcentral
UUCUCGAAUUUAGAAGAGCUAUUUAUUUUAAUGUCAUAAUUAUUUUUAAUAUGAAAUUAAAUGUUAAUAUAUCUAGUUUUCUAAGAUUAUUUAAUAUAUUUAUUUUUAAAGGGAUGAGCUUUUAAUAGGAUUAGAAAUUUUGUUAUUAUUUUUCUAUUAGAAUAUUUUCAAUAAUGAUAAAUGUAAUAAUGAUUAAAUUAGUAUAAGGUUAAUAAAAGGAAUUCGGCAAAAAUUUUCCGCCUGUUUAUUAAAAACAUGGCCUUUUGAUUAUAAUUUAAGGUUUAGCCUGCCCACUGAGGCCGCGGUAUUUUGACCGUGCAAAGGUAGCAUAAUAAUUAGUUUUUUAAUUGGAAGCUGGAAUGAAUGGUUGGAUGAGAAAAUAACUGUCUCUUUUUAAUAUAAUUUUAUUUUUAAGUAAGAAAGCUUAAAUUUUAUUAAAAGACGAGAAGACCCUAUAGAGUUUUAUUUUAGUUGGGGUGAUUGAAAAAUUAAUAAAACUUUUGAUUAUUAGAUUAAAUUACCUUAGGGAUAACAGCGUAAUUCUUUUUAGAGUUCUAAUUGAUAGAAGGGAUUGCGACCUCGAUGUUGGAUUAAAAUAAAAUCUGGUGCAGAAGCU